UUCCGUUGAUCCUGCGGAAGGUUGCUGCUAUUAGGAUUCGACUAAGCCAUGCAAGUCAGGGGGUUCUUCGGAACACCGGCAGAAUGCUCAGUAACACGUCAAUAAUCUAACCUUAGGUUCAGGAUAACUUCGGAAAACUGAGGCUAAAACUGAAUAAAAGAUGGAAACUGGAAUGUUCCUUCUUUCAAAAGCAAUGCCUAAGGAUGAGUUGGCGGUUGAUUAGGUUGUUGGUGGGGUAAAGGCCCACCAAGCCGAUGAUCAAUAGGGGCCUUGAGAGAGGGAGCCCCGAGAAGGGCACUGAGAUACUGGCCCUAGCCCUACGGGGUGCAGCAGGCGCGAAACCUUUACAAUGCACGAAAGUGUGAUAAGGGGAUCCUAAGUGCUUAUGCUUUGCAUAGGCUUUUGCCAUGAGUAAAAAUCAUGGAGAAUAAGUGGUGGGUAAGACUGGUGCCAGCCGCCGCGGUAACACCAGCGCCACGAGUGGUAACCGCAUUUAUUGGGCCUAAAGCGUCCGUAGCCGGUUCAAUUAAUCUUUUGUGAAAUUGUUAAGCUUAACUUAACUUCGUGCAGAAGACACUAUUGGACUUGGAACUGGGAGGAGUCAGAAGAAUGUCUUGGGGAGCGGUAAAAUGCUAUAAUCCAAGACAGACUACCCGUGGCGAAGGCGUCUGACUAGAACGGAUUCGACGGUGAGGGACGAAAGCUAGGGGAGCGAACCGGAUUAGAUACCCGAGUAGUCCUGGCUGUAAACUCUGCGAGCUAGGUGUUGCACAUUCCUCGUGAAUAUGCAGUGUCGUAGUGAAGACGUUUAGCUCGCCGCCUGGGAAGUAUGGUCGCAAGACUGAAACUUAAAGGAAUUGGCGGGGGAGCACUACAAGGGGUGCGGCGUGCGGUUUAAUCUAAUUCAACGCAGAGCAUCUCACCAGAAGCGACGGCAGGAUGAAAGUCAGUCUGAAGGGCUUACUUGACGAGCCCAGAGGUAGUGCAUGGCCGCCGUCAGCUCGUGCCGUAAGGUGUCCUGUUAAGUCAGGCAACGAGCGAGACCUGUAUUUACAAUUGCUAACGAGUUCAUCGAACGAUUGAGCACAUUGUAAGGACUGCCCUGGAAACAGGGAGGAAGGUGCAGGCUACGGUAGGUCUGUAUGCUCCGAAUCUUCUGGGCUACACGCGCGCAACAAUGGUAAAGACAAUGGGAUACAACUCCGAAAGGAGAAGUUAAUCCUCUAAACUUUACCUUAGUACAGAUUGAGGGUUGUAACUCACCCUCAUGACGCUGGAAUCCCUAGUAAUUGGACCUCAUCAUAGUCCAGUGAAUAUGUCCCUGCUCCUUGCACACACCGCCCGUCAAACCACCCGAGUAGGGUUUAGGUGAGGCUUAAUUUUCAAUUAUGUCGAAUCUAAGCUCCGCGAGGAGGGUUAAGUCGUCACAAGGUA
RNAcentral lists this ribosomal RNA (1434 nucleotides) under metagenome. Its description in RNAcentral is "bacterial SSU rRNA". It matches the Rfam family "Archaeal small subunit ribosomal RNA". The record is from RNAcentral.